AGUGAACGCUGGCGGUAGGCCUAACACAUGCAAGUCGAACGGCAGCACAGUAAGAGCUUGCUCUUACGGGUGGCGAGUGGCGGACGGGUGAGGAAUACAUCGGAAUCUACUUUUUCGUGGGGGAUAACGUAGGGAAACUUACGCUAAUACCGCAUACGACCUACGGGUGAAAUCAGGGGAUCUUCGGACCUUGCGCGAUUGAAUGAGCCGAUGUCGGAUUAGCUAGUUGGCGGGGUAAGGGCCCACCAAGGCGACGAUCCGUAGCUGGUCUGAGAGGAUGAUCAGCCACACUGGAACUGAGACACGGUCCAGACUCCUACGGGAGGCAGCAGUGGGGAAUAUUGGACAAUGGGCGCAAGCCUGAUCCAGCCAUACCGCGUGGGUGAAGAAGGCCUUCGGGUUGUAAAGCCCUUUUGUUGGGAAAGAAAAGCAGCAGGUUAAAACCCCGCUGUUCUGACGGUACCCAAAGAAUAAGCACCGGCUAACUUCGUG
This 492-nucleotide ribosomal RNA is filed under the name uncultured bacterium. RNAcentral's name for it is "partial 16S ribosomal RNA". It matches the Rfam family "Bacterial small subunit ribosomal RNA", at positions 29 to 507 of the family's 1533-position model. The record is from RNAcentral.